Ipomoea nil (Japanese morning glory) is the source of this 724-nucleotide long non-coding RNA. RefSeq lists it as uncharacterized. Lineage: Eukaryota; Viridiplantae; Streptophyta; Magnoliopsida; Solanales; Convolvulaceae. The record is from RefSeq and is a predicted model, not a curated record. The transcript has 3 exons.
CUCUCUCUCUCUCAUUUGCUCAUUUAUGAAGUUGGGUGUGGCGACGCCGUUCGUUCUUCGCAUCCUGUGACCUUGAUUCUCCUUCGCAGUUGUCCACAAGCCAGAUGGUCGUCAUUGAUGAUCGCAGUAGAGGCAAGCGGCGGAGACCACCUUGUCGGGGUGUCGGCAGAGGAGUACGAAAAUGAGAAUGUUAAAGAUGGUGGUUGUGCCUGGACGACCAAUGUGAGCAGCCAUUACAAAGAUGGGAACAAAGGCCUUCUGUCUGCUUCUCAGAUCGUGAAUCAAGGACGUGGUUGUAGCCCAUCUUUCUGAGUGUCCAAAGUUUGCUUCUCCUGAUGAGGGAGUUUUAAAUGGUAAUGGAGGCGAUCACCCUGCUGGUUCUAAAGGGCUUAUUUGUGCGGCACCGAUUUGUUUCAUCUCGGCUAGACUUUCAGACGUCCAACCCGAGUCAACCUAUGUUUGACUUUAAUGUGCACAAAUCACGCAACCUAUGUCGGGCGUACCAGUCUAUCUCGGCUCCUCAUCAUACUUUGUAGACAUGUGUUUUCCACGUGCUUUUGAAGGAUCUUACAUGCAGUUGUUGUAUAUACUAUUUAUUCUCCAUUUUGGUCUGAUUGUUUUUUGUCCACAUGAUGUGGGCUACUUUUUGUCAGUUUAUAUUUAUAUACACUUAAUCCUUAUUGUCAAACUGCUAGGUUUUUCCCCAGUUUUGUAUAAACUGAUG